AUUGAACGCUGGCGGCAUGCCUUACACAUGCAAGUCGAACGGUAACAGGUCUUCGGAUGCUGACGAGUGGCGAACGGGUGAGUAAUACAUCGGAACGUGCCCGAUCGUGGGGGAUAACGAGGCGAAAGCUUUGCUAAUACCGCAUACGAUCUACGGAUGAAAGCGGGGGAUCUUCGGACCUCGCGCGGACGGAGCGGCCGAUGGCAGAUUAGGUAGUUGGUGGGAUAAAAGCUUACCAAGCCGACGAUCUGCAGCUGGUCUGAGAGGAUGAUCAGCCACACGGGGACUGAGACACGGCCCAGACUCCUGCGGGAGGCAGCAGUGGGGAAUUUUGGACAAUGGGCGAAAGCCUGAUCCAGCCAUGCCGCGUGAAGGAUGAAGGCCUUUGGGUUGUAAACUGCUUUUGUACGGAACGAAAAGCCUCUUUCUAAUAAGGAGGGAUCAUGACGGUACCGGAAGAAUAAGCACCGGCUAACUACGUG
RNAcentral lists this ribosomal RNA (482 nucleotides) under uncultured bacterium. RNAcentral's name for it is "partial 16S ribosomal RNA". It matches the Rfam family "Bacterial small subunit ribosomal RNA", at positions 30 to 507 of the family's 1533-position model. The record is from RNAcentral.